Molecule: ribosomal RNA, 372 nt
Filed under: uncultured organism
Description: partial 16S ribosomal RNA
Rfam family: Bacterial small subunit ribosomal RNA
Source: RNAcentral
AGAGAGUGCGAGCGUUAAUCGGAAUUACUGGGCGUAAAGCGCGCGCAGGUGGAGUUUUAAGUCGGGAUGUGAAAUCCCCGGGCUUAACCUGGGAAUGGCAUUCGAUACUGGAACUCUAGAGUAUGGUAGAGGGAAGUGGAAUUUCCGGUGUAGCGGUGAAAUGCGUAGAUAUCGGAAGGAACACCAGUGGCGAAAGCGGCUUCCUGGACCAAUACUGACACUUAGGCGCGAAAGCGUGGGGAGCAAACAGGAUUAGAUACCCUGGUAGUCCACGCCGUCAACGAUGAGAACUAGAUGUUGGGGAGUUUACUCCUUAGUAUCGAAGCUAACGCGUUAAGUUCUCCGCCUGGGGAGUACGGCCGCAAAGGCUAA